Molecule: ribosomal RNA, 437 nt
Filed under: Paenibacillus sp.
Lineage: Bacteria; Bacillati; Bacillota; Bacilli; Caryophanales; Paenibacillaceae
Description: bacterial SSU rRNA
Rfam family: Bacterial small subunit ribosomal RNA
Source: RNAcentral
CUACUCCUUUCCGGGGGCAGCAGUAGGGAAUCUUCCGCAAUGGGCGAAAGCCUGACGGAGCAACGCCGCGUGAGUGAUGAAGGUUUUCGGAUCGUAAAGCUCUGUUGCCAGGGAAGAACGUCCGGUAGAGUAACUGCUAUCGGAGUGACGGUACCUGAGAAGAAAGCCCCGGCUAACUACGUGCCAGCAGCCGCGGUAAUACGUAGGGGGCAAGCGUUGUCCGGAAUUAUUGGGCGUAAAGCGCGCGCAGGCGGUCAUUUAAGUCUGGUGUUUAAGGCCAAGGCUCAACCUUGGUUCGCACUGGAAACUGGGUGACUUGAGUGCAGAAGAGGAGAGUGGAAUUCCACGUGUAGCGGUGAAAUGCGUAGAUAUGUGGAGGAACACCAGUGGCGAAGGCGACUCUCUGGGCUGUAACUGACGCUGAGCGCUAGCUACUC